UUUUUUUUAAUUCAUUUUUUUUUUAUAUACAUAUAUUUAGAUCUGCACAUUUUUUUCAUAACUAACUACCCUGAUUUUUCCUAAACCCUGACAAUUUCGCCACAAACUCUAAAUUUCAAACCUAAAACUUUAACCGUGUUGUUUCCUCUAAACCAUAAACCUUUUCUUAAACCUUAACAAACCUUAUUAUUAUUUCCUAUUUUCGCUCAUAUUUAUGUUAUUCAUACACUGUAACUGCUUCGCCCUUGUAAUAUUUUAAGUUUUAACUUGUAAUAUUUUCAGUUUUACUUUUCGCCAUCUUUAUUAUGUAACUGCACCAAAGCGUUGUAAUAAUUAGGGUUUUAUUUUCUGCCAUUUAUUUUCUGCCAUUUUAUUUUUCUGCCAUUUAUUUUUC
Molecule: long non-coding RNA, 394 nt
Filed under: Lathyrus oleraceus (garden pea)
Lineage: Eukaryota; Viridiplantae; Streptophyta; Magnoliopsida; Fabales; Fabaceae
Description: Pisum sativum (pea) long non-coding RNA (PSAT_LNC012073)
Source: RNAcentral